Molecule: ribosomal RNA, 462 nt
Filed under: uncultured bacterium
Lineage: Bacteria
Description: bacterial SSU rRNA
Rfam family: Bacterial small subunit ribosomal RNA
Source: RNAcentral
GACGAACGCUGGCGGCGUGCUUAACACAUGCAAGUCGAGCGGAAAGGCCCUUUCGGGGGUACUCGAGCGGCGAACGGGUGAGUAACACGUGAGUAAUCUGCCCUUGGCUUUGGGAUAACUACCGGAAACGGUGGCUAAUACCGGAUACGACCACUCCUUGCAUGAGGUGGUGGUGGAAAGUUUUUUCGGCCAGGGAUGUGCUCGCGGCCUAUCAGCUUGUUGGUGGGUAAUGGCCUACCAAGGCUUCGACGGGUAGCCGGCCUGAGAGGGUGACCGGCCACACUGGGACUGAGACACGGCCCAGACUCCUACGGGAGGCAGCAGUGGGGAAUAUUGCGCAAUGGACGGAAGUCUGACGCAGCGACGCCGCGUGAGCGACGAAGGCCUUCGGGUCGUAAAGCUCUGUUCUUGGGACGAAUAAAAUGACGGUACCCAAGGAGAAAGCCCCGGCUAACUAACGUG